This 20-nucleotide microRNA is filed under the name Python bivittatus (Burmese python). Its description in RNAcentral is "pbv-miR-92b-3p". Its record names the gene pbv-miR-92b-3p. Lineage: Eukaryota; Metazoa; Chordata; Lepidosauria; Squamata; Pythonidae. The record is from miRBase by way of RNAcentral.
UAUUGCACUCGUCCUGGCCU